UACGUAGGUGGCAAGCGUUGUCCGGAUUUACUGGGCGUAAAGGGCGUGCAGGCGGUUUGUUAAGUGCAGGGUGAAAGCCCACGGCUCAACCGUGGAGGGUCAUUGGAAACUGGGAGACUUGAGUGCAGAAGAGAAGAGCGGAAUUCCACGUGUAGCGGUGAAAUGCGUAGAGAUGUGGAGGAACACCAGUGGCGAAGGCGGCUCUUUGGUCUGUAACUGACGCUGAGGCGCGAAAGCGUGGGGAGCGAACAGG
RNAcentral lists this ribosomal RNA (253 nucleotides) under uncultured bacterium. RNAcentral describes it as "partial 16S ribosomal RNA". It matches the Rfam family "Bacterial small subunit ribosomal RNA", at positions 524 to 776 of the family's 1533-position model. The record is from RNAcentral.